CCGGACACUCAGCGGGACGGGCAGGCUGUGGGGCCAGAGCCGGGGCUGCCGGGGCUUGGUUGAGGACGGCCUUCCCAGCGGUGCCACCUGCCACCUGUGUGGCUCCCAGGGACUUCCCGGGGUCACAGGGCCAUGUCCCUGUCCCCUCCAACCAGGGCCAUGUGCCAGCCUGGCCACGCUCCUGCCCACUCCCACCUCGGGGCCUCGAUCGCUGCCCAUAAGCCUCGGGCCUCGCCCCCCACCUCCCCUCGUCCUCCGUCUCCCUCUGGAGAUGUCACCUUCUUCUCCAGGAAGCUUCCCCGAUGUCCCCGGAUGGGUCUGGGCAUCUUCGGGGCUGUCACCUGCUCCCGUACACGACCCGUCCCACCUCUAGUCACCCUGGACUAGAGCCCUCUGUGUGUGACCCUAAGCAGCCCAGGCCGGGCCGGCCUCCGGGCUAACUCCUCUAUCCGCCUCUUAUCCCCAGGACCUCAGGCCUCGGUUUCCUUGUUUGGGAAGUGGACACAGCCGUGGCCCCUGUGGUGAUGGGCUGGGAGGGAGGAGGACACCUCACAAGUGCUUCACACACGGUGCCACGCGCGGGGCUCGCCGUCCGCCAGCGCUGGCCGUGUCCCCCACCCCGACUGGCCAUAGUAGGUGCUCACUUAGGAUUUCCUGAAUGAGCAGACGCAGCCCUUCAAGUGUGUCCCAAAGAGCAGCUGAGGCAAGGGGUGCGUGUGACCUCAGGGAAGAGUCUCUGAGAACACAAUCCGAGGAGCCGAGCUGCGUGAUUUAUAACUAGGCGGCCUCCACCCGCUCCCGGCCGGGGGGACAAGAAAACAGAACGUUUCGUGUGGUCACAUUAGAAAUGGCGGCACAAAAAAAAUGGCUUUUCUUCUUGUUUGAUGUGUUUUUUCCAAUUUCCUCUAAUAAGCAGGAUUUCAAUUUAAGUGGGAAAACAUAACAGCAGACCAGACAGAGGCCAGGAGCCCCAGCCCUUGGGUUCUGUGCAUGUUUCCCACAAACUGGGGCCCGGGUGGGCGGGGCGGGGCAGGCAGGGGCCGCGCCGCUGGUGGAGGUGAAGCAAGAGCGGAGCCGGCCCAGGGCUCGGCCAGGGGAAGCGGCACUAGUGACCAAGGUCCCAGCUGGUGGGUCCUUCUAGACGUGUCCCCCAGAAACCCUCCCCAGGCCCCAGGCUGAGCCAGCGGCCUGUGUCACACCCCAGGGUCUGC
RNAcentral lists this long non-coding RNA (1211 nucleotides) under Marmota monax (woodchuck). The record is from RNAcentral. Lineage: Eukaryota; Metazoa; Chordata; Mammalia; Rodentia; Sciuridae.